Molecule: transfer RNA, 90 nt
Filed under: Borreliella afzelii ACA-1
Lineage: Bacteria; Pseudomonadati; Spirochaetota; Spirochaetia; Spirochaetales; Borreliaceae
Description: tRNA-Leu
Rfam family: tRNA
About the family: Transfer RNA (tRNA) molecules are approximately 80 nucleotides in length. Their secondary structure includes four short double-helical elements and three loops (D, anti-codon, and T loops).
Source: RNAcentral
UGCUGUGGUGGUGGAAGUGGUAGACACGCUAGCUUGAGGGGCUAGUGGGCGAUAAGCCCAUGCUGGUUCAAGUCCAGUUCACAGCAUUAA